CCUCAUGUGCGCCGGCGGGUUUCAAGGAGGAAGCCGAGGAGUCCCAAUUUCUAACAGCCUUUAGCUUCGAAUUCUAAAUCCGGACCUGUUUGGGGCGUCACUUUGAGAGGGUUUCUCUUGCUCCCUCAUUCCCGCGACUACCACUCCCUCCUUCCCAAACUGCCCCCGGGGAUAGAGUGGGGGAGUGCGGGGCGCUCCGAGGCGCGCUCCCACGCGCGCACACCCAGCCCCAGGCUUCCCCUUCCCUCUCUCCACUCCCCACGCCCUGCAGCGAAACGGCCCCAGAAGCCCCUCUCCGAGGCGCGAGUUCGGUUUGGUUCUGGCAGGGGCUUUGCAGCUGUCCGGAAGGUGAAGUCAGCCUUGUGUCCUGAGGAGAAACUGGAGAUGCAGGUCGCUGUGCCCUCCCGCUGCUACGUCGCUGCGCCGGAUCCUGCCAUCCUUCCGCAAGGGGUGAGAGCGGGAACAGCCCUGCCCUGCCUUCCAGGUAUUAUCUAGCCUGGAGGCUGGAGCGCAAGGUAACGCUCCGGGAAGUGGCACUCGGGUCCCCGCACACGGGCGAGUCCUCAGCAGUUCAGUGGACAGACCCGCAGGACGCGGCUGCCAAGUCCGCGAGGCAAGGACCAGGCAUCUUCCCGCGCCUCACUCCAGCCUGCGGACUGUGACUUUCCAUCCCAGUAUCAGACAAGCUCGCGAGUAACUGAACAUCCUUUCCAGUCCAUGGGUGGGGUGUGGAAAGGGCGUAAAACUCCAAAGUGGCUCCUCCGCGGUGAGCGAGCUGCCCCGGGGCUCUGCCUGACUGCAGCGCGAAGCCUGGGAGAACAAACCCAGUUCCCUCCGUCAAGAAAUUUCCAUUUAAGUCCGAGAAAGUCAUAUGAUUGAGAAGUUCAGCAGCGGCGGCGAGGACCCAGUGUCUGGGAAAGAACACCUGGAGGAUGGGGUGUCCAGGACGCCGGCUUUUCGGGGUUCCGACCCCACCCACCUUAUGUUGUAACAUACAAGCUUAGAGACCUGUUGCAAGGAACAACUGACUGGGUCUUCCACCACCCCUGGCACCCGGGUGGCCCAAAGCCUAUGCGCCCUUGGCGGAGAGAGAGGCCACGGUGCCACUGGCCGCAGCCUCUGGCCUUCAGAAACAGUGUAUUACAAAGAAAAGGCAGUUUAAAUCUCACAUUCAGCAUAGGGAAAACUGAAGGGUGCCAGGCUCGGGGACUUCUUCCAACAGAGUGGCUCUUCCCCAAAUAUGAAAGAAAAUCAUCAAAUUAAAUUGAAGGCAAAACUAAGCUUCCACCACAAAGACAUAGCAGAUAGUUGCAAGGUGGAUUCCUUCGGGCCUUUUCCUUUCCUAAGGCUAAAACAAUGCUAAGACAAAAGUCUUCUUGCAGCUGUCUCCGCCCCUCCGAGAUAAAUACUUUCCCAAUUCUCCCCCACCCUGUACACACACCCACGCCCGCGGCAGCUGAUUUCUGUCUUCUGCAAUAGCUCGAUUUAAAUGCUUUGCUUUUACUCUUUAUUAUCACUAUUAUUUGUGUGAAGCCCUCUCGCCUGCUCCUGGUCACCAGCAGGAGCCUGCUUCCCUCCCUCCUUCCCCCCAAGCCUCUGGGCAGCAGAAGCUAGCUGGGAGCUCUGUGCAGCUGGCGGCGACGCCAUGUGACUGUGAGCCGAGCACCAUCACCCAGAGUCACUCUCUAGCUUUCCCCUAAUACACUUCACACCCACGCACUGUGGAGGUGCGAGAGAGGUUGCUCCGUGCGGUGCUAUUCGAGGCAGAUGCAGAGAGCGCCCUGGAGUAAGCUCUCCAAUCCUAGAGCUGCGCGGGACCCUGACUGAAGGCGGAGGGGGCGGGAGGGGGUGCUGUUGCUAUAUUUAGACUCCCUAUGGAGUUUCUGUGCAGGGACUUUCAGGGUGAAAGAUCUAGAGACUUAAAAUGACUCGUGUGCCCGCUUUAAACGUCAAAAUCUUGGCCUUUCUGCAAGCAGUAAAAUGAAAACCACUUCCUCUUAACUUAGCUGUUUUCCUUGUUGCAGACUGCUACUUUCGCUGGAAAUUAAUCAGAGAACCCAGGACAACGUCAGAGAUCAUAUGAGCCUCACCAGACUGCAUGAGAGUCAUAACACAGUAGGAGUCCCAGGCCUACCUCACAUGGCAAAUGGGACAGUGUUCUUCAGAACAACCUCUGCCCCAGGGAUGCAGAAAGGAGGAAAUUAAGAAAGCUUCUUUUACGAAGUUCUCAAAACUUAUUACUCUCUUC
This 2248-nucleotide long non-coding RNA is filed under the name Homo sapiens (human). Its description in RNAcentral is "HSALNT0108372". Lineage: Eukaryota; Metazoa; Chordata; Mammalia; Primates; Hominidae. The record is from RNAcentral.